This 520-nucleotide ribosomal RNA is filed under the name uncultured bacterium. Its description in RNAcentral is "bacterial LSU rRNA". It matches the Rfam family "Bacterial large subunit ribosomal RNA", at positions 1245 to 1765 of the family's 2925-position model. The record is from RNAcentral.
GGCCUGUGAAGGUGUCCUGUGAGGGAUGCUGGAGGUAUCGGAAGUGCGAAUGCUGACAUGAGUAGCGAUAAAACGGGUGAAAAGCCCGUUCGCCGGAAGCCCAAGGUUUCCUGCGCAACGUUCAUCGGCGCAGGGUGAGUCGGCCCCUAAGGCGAGGCAGAGAUGCGUAGCUGAUGGGAAACAGGUCAAUAUUCCUGUACCUUCGUUAAUUGCGAUGGGGGGGACGGAGAAAGGUAGGCCAGCCAGGUGUUGGAUGUCCUGGUUUAAGCGUGUAGGCGUGCCCCUUAGGCAAAUCCGGGGGGCUUAGCUGAGGCGUGAUGACGAGGUCCCAUGUGGACCGAAGUGGUUGAUCCUAUGCUUCCAAGAAAAGCCUCUAAGCUUCAGAUUGACGAAGACCGUACCGUAAACCGACACAGGUGGACAGGUAGAAUAUACUAAGGCGCUUGAGAGAACUCUGGUUAAGGAACUCGGCAAAAUAGACACCGUAACUUCGGGAGAAGGUGUACCCGACAUGGUGAUC